This 439-nucleotide long non-coding RNA is filed under the name Volvox carteri. Its description in RNAcentral is "long non-coding RNA (VCAR_LNC000664)". The record is from RNAcentral. Lineage: Eukaryota; Viridiplantae; Chlorophyta; Chlorophyceae; Chlamydomonadales; Volvocaceae.
UUUCAUGUUUAAACCAUGGUUAACUUGCUGGUCACCUGCUUUUUCGCUUGCCAGGUAACCCAUUUUCAAGAUCACCCAUCAUCAUGCCAGCCUGCCAGCUUACCAGCCUGCUUGCCUGCCAACCUGCCAGCCUGCUUUUGGGUUUAGGGUUUUAGGGAGUACACACGGGGGGAAAGAAUGGGCUAUUGCAGCGAAGCAACGCCCCAGAUGAGUGCUAAAAACAGUGCAUUAGAACAUGCAUAUUUGAAGCUUAGCCUAACGUUGUCCUUGGCCUCCGACUGCACCCACUACCCUCCAGAGCGUGGCCUGGAGCUUUUCGAGUCGAGGGACGUACGUCAUACAUCGCUACAAGGUGUGUAUGGAUAGGGAGGGUCGGGGAAUUGGGGCUGGAAGGGUUGGGAGGGUCGUGGCACGGGAGUUGGCGGGGUAUGGGGGUUAG